This 936-nucleotide ribosomal RNA is filed under the name uncultured bacterium. RNAcentral describes it as "bacterial SSU rRNA". It matches the Rfam family "Bacterial small subunit ribosomal RNA", at positions 461 to 1397 of the family's 1533-position model. The record is from RNAcentral.
GAGAAGAGUGGACGUUACUCGCAGAAUAAGCACCGGCUAACUCUGUGCCAGCAGCCGCGGUAAUACAGAGGGUGCGAGCGUUAAUCGGAUUUACUGGGCGUAAAGCGCGCGUAGGUGGCUAAUUAAGUCAAAUGUGAAAUCCCCGAGCUUAACUUGGGAAUUGCAUUCGAUACUGGUUGGCUAGAGUAUGGGAGAGGAUGGUAGAAUUCCAGGUGUAGCGGUGAAAUGCGUAGAGAUCUGGAGGAAUACCGAUGGCGAAGGCAGCCAUCUGGCCUAAUACUGACACUGAGGUGCGAAAGCAUGGGGAGCAAACAGGAUUAGAUACCCUGGUAGUCCAUGCCGUAAACGAUGUCUACUAGCCGUUGGGGGAUUUGAUCCUUUAGUGGCGCAGCUAACGCGAUAAGUAGACCGCCUGGGGAGUACGGUCGCAAGACUAAAACUCAAAUGAAUUGACGGGGGCCCGCACAAGCGGUGGAGCAUGUGGUUUAAUUCGAUGCAACGCGAAGAACCUUACCUGGCCUUGACAUAGUAGAGACUUUUCAGAGAUGGAAAGGUGCCUUCGGGAAUCUACAUACAGGUGCUGCAUGGCUGUCGUCAGCUCGUGUCGUGAGAUGUUGGGUUAAGUCCCGCAACGAGCGCAACCCUUUUCCUUACUUGCCAGCAUUUCGGAUGGGAACUUUAAGGAUACUGCCAGUGACAAACUGGAGGAAGGCGGGGACGACGUCAAGUCAUCAUGGCCCUUACGGCCAGGGCUACACACGUGCUACAAUGGUCGGUACAAAGGGUUGCUACACAGCGAUGUGAUGCUAAUCUCAAAAAGCCGAUCGUAGUCCGGAUCGCAGUCUGCAACUCGACUGCGUGAAGUCGGAAUCGCUAGUAAUCGCGGAUCAGAAUGCCGCGGUGAAUACGUUCCCGGGCCUUGUACACACCGCCCGU